AUUGAACGCUGGCGGCAGGCCUAACACAUGCAAGUCGAGCGGAUGAAGGGAGCUUGCUCCUGGAUUCAGCGGCGGACGGGUGAGUAAUGCCUAGGAAUCUGCCUGGUAGUGGGGGAUAACGUCCGGAAACGGGCGCUAAUACCGCAUACGUCCUGAGGGAGAAAGUGGGGGAUCUUCGGACCUCACGCUAUCAGAUGAGCCUAGGUCGGAUUAGCUAGUUGGUGGGGUAAAGGCCUACCAAGGCGACGAUCCGUAACUGGUCUGAGAGGAUGAUCAGUCACACUGGAAAUGAGACACGGUCCAGAAUCCUACGGGAGGCAGCAGUGGGGAAUAUUGGACGAUGGGCGAAAGCCUGAUCCAGCCAUGCCGCGUGUGUGAAGAAGGUCUUCGGAUUGUAAAGCACUUUAAGUUGGGAGGAAGGGCAGUAAGUUAAUACCUUGCUGUUUUGACGUUACCAACAGAAUAAGCACCGGCUAACUUCGUG
RNAcentral lists this ribosomal RNA (484 nucleotides) under uncultured bacterium. Its description in RNAcentral is "partial 16S ribosomal RNA". It matches the Rfam family "Bacterial small subunit ribosomal RNA", at positions 30 to 507 of the family's 1533-position model. The record is from RNAcentral.